This 349-nucleotide ribosomal RNA is filed under the name uncultured bacterium. RNAcentral describes it as "bacterial SSU rRNA". It matches the Rfam family "Bacterial small subunit ribosomal RNA", at positions 8 to 350 of the family's 1533-position model. The record is from RNAcentral.
AGAGUUUGAUCCUGGCUCAGGAUGAACGCUAGCUACAGGCUUAACACAUGCAAGUCGAGGGGCAGCAUGUUGGUUGCUUGCAACCAACGAUGGCGACCGGCGCACGGGUGAGUAACGCGUAUCCAACCUACCCUUGUCCAUCGGAUAACCCGUCGAAAGGCGGCCUAACACGAUAUGCGGUUCACAGCAGGCAUCUAACGUGAACGAAAUGUAAAGGAGAAGGAUGGGGAUGCGUCUGAUUAGCUUGUUGGCGGGGUAACGGCCACAAGGCUACGAUCAGUAGGGGUUCUGAGAGGAAGGUCCCCCANAUUGGGAACUGGAGACACGGUCCAAACUCCUACGGGAGCCA